CCAAAAGGUGAGGGAGGUAUGGGUUUUCGUGACCUUAUGUUAUUUAAUCAAGCUCUACUGGCUAAACAAACUUGGCGGUUAUUGAUAUUUCCCAAGUUGCUUUGUGCAAAACUGAUGAAGGCAAAGUAUUGCCCUCAAGGCCACCUUCUUGAUACGGUUUUUUCGCAGUCUACUUCAAUGACUUGGCAAGGUAUUAUGCAUGGUCUGGAUCUUCUUAAAAAAGGGGUUAUUUGA
Molecule: ribosomal RNA, 234 nt
Filed under: Triticum aestivum (bread wheat)
Lineage: Eukaryota; Viridiplantae; Streptophyta; Magnoliopsida; Poales; Poaceae
Description: partial small subunit ribosomal RNA
Source: RNAcentral